Molecule: ribosomal RNA, 253 nt
Filed under: uncultured bacterium
Lineage: Bacteria
Description: partial 16S ribosomal RNA
Rfam family: Bacterial small subunit ribosomal RNA
Source: RNAcentral
GACGUAGGAGGCGAGCGUUGUCCGGAUUCAUUGGGCGUAAAGAGCACGCAGGCGGUUUGGCAAGUCGGAUGUGAAAACCCGAAGCUCAACUUCGGGCCUGCAUCCGAAACUGCCCGACUAGGAGUAGGUAGGGGAGAUGGGAAUUCCUGGUGUAGCGGUGAAAUGCGCAGAUAUCAGGAGGAACACCGGUGGCGAAGGCGGAUCUCUGGGCCUUACCUGACGCUCAGGUGCGAAAGCUAGGGGAGCGAACAGG